Long non-coding RNA from Gadus macrocephalus (Pacific cod), 730 nucleotides. RefSeq lists it as uncharacterized. The record is from RefSeq and is a predicted model, not a curated record. NCBI's taxonomy places the organism in Eukaryota, Metazoa, Chordata, Actinopteri, Gadiformes, Gadidae. The transcript has 2 exons.
CCAUCAUUACAUGAUCAUCAAAAGAGGAUGGGUCCCAAUAUAUAUUGAUCAAAAAAUAUUUAUGCAUUGAAAUAACGUAUCUGGAUUUGAAUUUCAACGUAAUCAACGUGAAGUUCUUGACAUUGAAUCUUUGAUUUAGAAUUUUUAACAUUGAAAAAUAAAGCUGAAUAGGAGUUCAAUUCAAAUCCAAAUACGUUAUUUCAAUGCAUAAAUAUUCAGUGCUUAGAGUUCAAUGGCUUUUUAUUUUCAAAAUCCGAUGGCACAGAUUUACUUCCAUAGCAGUGACUCAAACAUUUUGUGGUUCAGAGGGCAUAUCGGUUUCCACCAUAGGUUUCUACAGGAAAAAAAUCUGUGUGGGGGAAUCUAGAGAGGUAUGGAAGCGCGCAAUAAUUUGCAGCGUCAGAAUUCUGAGAAUUUAGUCAGCAUUUCAGAUUUCUCAGAAUUCUCUGACACUGCAAAUUAAAGCGCUACUACCAGCAAACUACUUUCAGCGUGACUGGAGAGAACUUCCUUAAAUUAACCUUUAAUGCUAUAUUUGCAUGAACGCUAUUGUGUGAAUUAGUUUGGUUCUCUUUCAUGGAAGCCGGAAGUGGGAGAUUCCUGGGGCUUGCCCCAUGAAUUCAACCCAUGCACACGCUCACACGCCACACUUCAAAUAUAUAGCGUAUAAAAAGUGGCUGGUAAAAAAGAUGAGUGGCUGGUAGAUUUUUAAAUCUACCUGCCACAGUGG